This 1653-nucleotide long non-coding RNA is filed under the name Mytilus galloprovincialis (Mediterranean mussel). The record is from RNAcentral. Lineage: Eukaryota; Metazoa; Mollusca; Bivalvia; Mytilida; Mytilidae.
GCCUUUUUGUGCUUCUUCGUUAUACUUGUUGUUUUUAUAGUAAUUAUGAUAAUAACACAAUGUUGACUGCUGUACACCUAUUUUUGACAUUUUUACCUAUUGUGUCUGUUUGUUUUGUUCACGCAUCAGUGACAAUAUAAUGGAAUUUGAUGCGGCUGUCAUAUAAGUGAGAGGUUUAGCUAGCUAUAAAACCAGGUUCAAGCCACCAUUUUCUACAUAAGAAAAUGUCUGUACCAAGUCAGGAAUAUGACAGUUGUUAUCCAUUCGUUUGAUGUGUUUGAACUUUUGAUUUUGCCAUUUGAUUGAGGACCUUCCUUUUUGAAUUUUCCUUGGAGUUCAGUAUUUUUGUGAUUUUACUUUAUACAUAUAAAUAGAAACAUAAAAUCAUAGCGUCAAUAUACGUAAAAAAGAAACAAGGCUACGGAUGCGUAAAAUAUUCUUGUGUACAAUUCGGAGUAAAGUAUGGCGUUCAUUAUUAUUGAACUAGUAUAUAUAUUUGUGUAGGGGCCAGCUGAAGGACGCCCUCGGGUGCGAGAAGGAGUAUGGCCACGAAGUGCCGAUAUUGGCCCUGUGAGGUGACAAAAAAUAAAAGUCAAUAAGGUGGAUCCUUUAUAGCUAAAAAAUAUCUAUGUAUAUUGUUAUUUUUUAUUAUGGUAUUAAAUCAUAUUUUUCUGACGUCAUUAAUGUGACGUAAUACCCGGAAUCGAACCGGAACGCUGAAAAUGUCCAAAUUUUUAAUGAAAUUCACACUUCCUGGUUGAAAUUCGCAUUGGCCACAGGCCUCGACCAAAGUAAUUUUUCUCUCAUUUUGAUUGUUUGACAUUUUGACUCAGUUUGCAACAAUGUUUAGCGUGGUCGAGGCCUGUGGCCACAUCGAAAAUCUUACUUUUGCUAACAAGCAUAUCCUGAUUCAACGCCGCCAUGUCCGAGGUACGAUACAUUCUCUGACGAAUAACUGUACCAAUAUCUUGUAUAAUAUUGCUAUCCAUAAACGUGAUGCAUAGAAAUAAAUUCUAAUUGGUUGAAAUAAAUAUAAUUGUGAAUUUGUAAAUUAUUUUAACGAUCAUUUCCACGUUAUUUGUAAUAACUAGCCCUAUAUUAUGCAUAGUUGAAAAGGACAGUUUUAAAUUAGAGAAGUAGUUUUUCCCCAUAACAUUCUACAGUCAGCAGAUCGAUAUGGGUGCCAAUAUUAUAGUUUAAUACAAAAACCCAGACAACAUUGGUACGUUGGUACAACGUUGGCCCAAUGUAUCGACAUGCAUUGGCCCAACGUUAUUUUUAAACGUUGGCCCAAUGUACAAGUGCAAAGUGGCCCUAUGUUGGUGUAAUGAUGGUCACUUUUUUUACUUGUCUAUUUAAUAUAUUUGGGGAAAUUGGUUAACUUUAGUAUUACUUUUAGUUCCGUAACUCUUUCUUCCGAGACCGGCCAUGUAAAUUAUUCUUGUCGGGACUUCCUUUUCUUGCACGUGCCCGGCCGGGGCUCGUUGUCCCUAGGAACUAUAAGUAUGACGUCACUCACCGGCUUCGGGGCAGUACACUUAGAAUUUAAAAUGAGCAGACGCUCAUACGAUUUGGCUUGCAAAUAUGGAACCUUUAUUUAUACAAGUAGACUAGCCACCACCGUAUAUUUAUUUAUGUAAACUUAUGUUCAAC